UCUUAUUUAAUUUUUGUUUAGGCACCAUCUCGAAUUGUAGAAGCAAGUGCAAAAGCAUUAAAACUGACGGAUGCACUUUUGAGAUGGAUAAAAGUUGGACUGGUCUUCCAAAUUGACUUUCUAGAGAUUAUGUUGAAGGGGUAGCAUCAUUUAUUAAAGUUGCUAAACAACAUUUGGACGAUGAGGGAAGACACGUUGCCCAUGCCGUAAUUGUCUUAAUGCCUAUUGUAAACCCAUUGAGGUUGUACAUAAACAUAUUUAUAGGUAUGGGUUUUCUAAAUUAUAUGUAAAUUGGGUGUUCCAUGAAGAAGAACAAGUGGCAUCCACGAGCAACACUGGACCGAAUAAUUUGCAUCGUUCGCAAGUAAACAAAAAAAAUCGUGCAAAUGUGCCGUAUAACCACUAUGGAGGAUCGAAACCCUUUGUAUAUCAUCUUCAAGAAAAAUCAAAGAAUCUUCCUGAAUGACGAACACAAGGACAGGUGGAUUUUUUUUCAUGAUAUGCAUUAUCAUGAUAAAAAAGAUUGGAUCAAUGAGACAGCUCAACAAAGAUAUGUAAGUAAAUGAUUUUCUACAUUUGUCCUCCCAAACUAAGAGACACCUUACUUACAUUGCCUUCCUAAGCUAAACUAUUAUUAUUUUGUUAAUUUAGUCUG
Long non-coding RNA from Ziziphus jujuba (common jujube), 655 nucleotides. RefSeq lists it as uncharacterized. The transcript has 4 exons. The record is from RefSeq and is a predicted model, not a curated record. Lineage: Eukaryota; Viridiplantae; Streptophyta; Magnoliopsida; Rosales; Rhamnaceae.